UACGGAGGGUGCAAGCGUUAUUCGGAAUUACUGGGCGUAAAGCGUGCGUAGGCGGUUUGUUAAGUCUGUUGUGAAAGCCCCGGGCUCAACCUGGGAAUGGCAAUGGAUACUGGCAAGCUAGAGUGUGAUAGAGGAUGGUGGAAUUCCCGGUGUAGCGGUGAAAUGCGUAGAGAUCGGGAGGAACAUCAGUGGCGAAGGCGGCCAUCUGGAUCAACACUGACGCUGAGGCACGAAAGCGUGGGGAGCAAACAGG
Molecule: ribosomal RNA, 253 nt
Filed under: uncultured bacterium
Lineage: Bacteria
Description: partial 16S ribosomal RNA
Rfam family: Bacterial small subunit ribosomal RNA
Source: RNAcentral